GAGGGUAUAGUGCAAAUUGUAGAGGGCAAGCUUUGCAUGCUUGAGGCCCUGGGUUCAAUCCCCAGUACCUCCU
Molecule: transfer RNA, 73 nt
Filed under: Camelus bactrianus (Bactrian camel)
Lineage: Eukaryota; Metazoa; Chordata; Mammalia; Artiodactyla; Camelidae
Also listed under: 2 other names
Rfam family: tRNA
About the family: Transfer RNA (tRNA) molecules are approximately 80 nucleotides in length.
Source: Rfam by way of RNAcentral